GCAUUGGUGGUUCAGUGGUAGAAUUCUCGCCUCCCACGUGGGAGAUCCGGGUCCGAUUCCCGGCCAAUGCA
Danio rerio (zebrafish) is the source of this 71-nucleotide non-coding RNA. The record is from Rfam. NCBI's taxonomy places the organism in Eukaryota, Metazoa, Chordata, Actinopteri, Cypriniformes, Danionidae.